Molecule: ribosomal RNA, 253 nt
Filed under: uncultured bacterium
Lineage: Bacteria
Description: partial 16S ribosomal RNA
Rfam family: Bacterial small subunit ribosomal RNA
Source: RNAcentral
UACAGAGGGUGCAAACGUUGCUCGGAAUUACUGGGCGUAAAGCGCGUGUAGGCUGACAUGCAAGUCGGGUGUGAAAUCCCAGGGCUCAACCUUGGAACUGCAUUCGAAACUGCACGUCUUGAGUACUGGAGAGGGAAGCGGAAUUCCGGGUGUAGAGGUGAAAUUCGUAGAUAUCCGGAGGAACACCAGUGGCGAAGGCGGCUUCCUGGACAGUAACUGACGCUGAGACGCGAAAGCGGGGGGAGCAAACAGG